UACGGGGGGGGCAAGCGUUGUUCGGAAUUACUGGGCGUAAAGGGCGCGUAGGCGGCCUGCUAAGUCGAACGUGAAAUCCCUGGGCUCAACCCAGGAACUGCGUCCGAUACUGGAUGGCUUGAAUCCGGGAGAGGGAUGCAGAAUUCCAGGUGUAGCGGUGAAAUGCGUAGAUAUCUGGAGGAAUACCGGUGGCGAAGGCGGCAUCCUGGACCGGCAUUGACGCUGAGGAGCGAAAGCUAGGGGAGCAAACGGG
Molecule: ribosomal RNA, 253 nt
Filed under: uncultured bacterium
Lineage: Bacteria
Description: partial 16S ribosomal RNA
Rfam family: Bacterial small subunit ribosomal RNA
Source: RNAcentral